Molecule: ribosomal RNA, 499 nt
Filed under: uncultured bacterium
Lineage: Bacteria
Description: partial 16S ribosomal RNA
Rfam family: Bacterial small subunit ribosomal RNA
Source: RNAcentral
GACGAACGCUGGCGGCGUGCCUAAUACAUGCAAGUCGUGCGGACCUCUUAAAAGCUUGCUUUUAAAAGGUUAGCGGCGGACGGGUGAGUAACACGUGGGCAACCUGCCUGUAAGACUGGGAUAACGCCGGGAAACCGGGGCUAAUACCAGAUCGUUUUUUCCUCCGCAUGGAGGAAAAAGGAAAGGCGGCUUCGGCUGCCACUUACAGAUGUGCCCGCGGCGCAUUAGCUAGUUGGCGGGGUAACGGCCCACCAAGGCAACGAUGCGUAGCCGACCUGAGAGGGUGAUCGGCCACAUUGGGACUGAGACACGGCCCAAACUCCUACGGGAGGCAGCAGUAGGGAAUCUUCCGCAAUGGACGAAAGUCUGACGGAGCAACGCCGCGUGAGUGAAGAAGGCCUUCGGGUCGUAAAACUCUGUUGCCGGGGAAGAACAAGUGCCGUUCGAACAGGGCGGCGCCUUGACGGUACCCGGCCAGAAAGCCACGGCUAACUACGUG